UACGUAGGUGGCAAGCGUUGUCCGGAAUCAUUGGGCGUAAAGAGCGCGUAGGUGGCUUGUCAGGUCUGAUGUGAAAUUUCGGGGCUCAACCCCGAACGUGCAUCGGAAACCGGCUUGCUAGAGUCUGGGAGAGGAGAGUGGAAUUCCUGGUGUAGCGGUGAAAUGCGUAGAUAUCAGGAGGAACACCGGUAGCGAAGGCGGCUCUCUGGAACAGUACUGACGCUGAGGCGCGAAAGCUAGGGGAGCGAACAGG
Molecule: ribosomal RNA, 253 nt
Filed under: uncultured bacterium
Lineage: Bacteria
Description: partial 16S ribosomal RNA
Rfam family: Bacterial small subunit ribosomal RNA
Source: RNAcentral